This 223-nucleotide long non-coding RNA is filed under the name Setaria viridis. RNAcentral describes it as "long non-coding RNA (SVIR_LNC001510)". The record is from RNAcentral. Lineage: Eukaryota; Viridiplantae; Streptophyta; Magnoliopsida; Poales; Poaceae.
CCCGUACUAAAGGGGUAUUAAAAAAAAUACUAAAGGGGUACUAAAGGAGUACUAAAGGGGUGCUAAAGGGGUACUAAAGGUCACCAUUAUGAAGGACUACGCAGAACAACGAAGUUUUAUUCUGGUAGUCGUUAUUCUUAUUAUUCCCUACGACUUCUGUAUUCCGAUAUAUAUCAUCGAGGUCCUCCUGUUCCAGCAUUCUAUCAGAAUUUUUACACAGAAG